UGGGGAAUUUUGGACAAUGGGCGAAAGCCUGAUCCAGCAAUGCCGCGUGUGUGAAGAAGGCCUUCGGGUUGUAAAGCACUUUUGUCCGGAAAGAAAUCCUUGGCUCUAAUACAGUCGGGGGAUGACGGUACCGGAAGAAUAAGCACCGGCUAACUACGUGCCAGCAGCCGCGGUAAUACGUAGGGUGCAAGCGUUAAUCGGAAUUACUGGGCGUAAAGCGUGCGCAGGCGGUUUGCUAAGACCGAUGUGAAAUCCCCGGGCUCAACCUGGGAACUGCAUUGGUGACUGGCAGGCUAGAGUAUGGCAGAGGGGGGUAGAAUUCCACGUGUAGCAGUGAAAUGCGUAGAGAUGUGGAGGAAUACCGAUGGCGAAGGCAGCCCCCUGGGCCAAUACUGACGCUCAUGCACGAAAGCGUGGGGAGCAAACAGGAUUAGAUACCCUGGUAGUCCACGCCCUAAAACGAUGUCAACUAGUUGUUGGGGAUUCAUUUCCUUAGUAACGCAGCUAACGCGUGAAGUUGACCGCCUGGGGAGUACGGUCGCAAGAUUAAAACUCAAAGGAAUUGACGGGGUCAUAGCUGUUUCCU
Molecule: ribosomal RNA, 586 nt
Filed under: uncultured bacterium
Lineage: Bacteria
Description: partial 16S ribosomal RNA
Rfam family: Bacterial small subunit ribosomal RNA
Source: RNAcentral